Molecule: unclassified non-coding RNA, 382 nt
Filed under: uncultured bacterium
Lineage: Bacteria
Description: contains 16S-23S intergenic spacer region
Source: RNAcentral
UCUCGGCUUAUCACCGGCAGUCCCCCUAGAGUGCCCAACUGAAUGAUGGCAACUAAGGGCGAGGGUUGCGCUCGUUGCGGGACUUAACCCAACAUCUCACGACACGAGCUGACGACAGCCAUGCAGCACCUCGACUUCAGUCCCUUGCGGGAAAACCUCUGUUUCCAAAGGUCGUCCAAAGCCGUUCGAGCCCAGGUAAGGUUCUUCGCGUUGCAUCGAAUUAAGCCACAUGCUCCACCGCUUGUGCGGUCCCCCGCCAAUUCCCUUGAGUUUCAACCUUGCGGCCGUAGUCCCCAGGCGGUUCACUUAAUGCGUUAGCUACGGCACGGAGCCCGUUGAUAAGGCCCCACACCUAGUGCCCAACGUUUACGGCGUGGACUAC